GUGUAGGCAAUCUGGCUCUCUGUCACCCAAUUGACUGCCAGGGUCGACUCGGCUGAUCUGACUGGCUAAGCAUGUGUCCCUUUCCUCCCUGUCUGCUACAUGUGCAUCCUUCCCAAGCUGCACUCUCAGUGGAAAAGGACGACCUUAUCAAGGUGGGCUGUUUUGGUCAAGGGUAUAGGAGUAGUUGUACUCCCCUGCUAGAGCCUCCAAAGAAGUUCUCAAAGUCCCUUUCCUCUACUUCCAAAAUAGUCAAACACAUCUUAAACAUUCACAUUAUCUUUUGAAAUAUUUAGGUAAGAAUGGCUACAUUU
This is an unclassified non-coding RNA of Mustela putorius furo (domestic ferret), 311 nucleotides long. Its record names the gene 7SK. It matches the Rfam family "7SK RNA". Rfam says of the family: 7SK was discovered as an abundant small nuclear RNA in the mid-70s but a possible function has only recently been suggested. Two independent studies have found that 7SK RNA binds the CDK9/cyclin T complex (known as elongation factor P-TEFb). NCBI's taxonomy places the organism in Eukaryota, Metazoa, Chordata, Mammalia, Carnivora, Mustelidae. The record is from Ensembl.